UGGUCUUGUGUGAAGUAUGAUUUGCUUCAUGUGACCUGCUCUUCUGAAUUUGUCUGCAGGAGAUCGGAAAGAUAACGAUGAAGAACAGAAAUGCAGAGACAGGAAAAAUAAACUUCUUAUGAGUCAAGUGGGCUACUACCUGGGCUGCCGGCUGAAGACGGAAGUCCCUGGCUUUCUGUGUUCUGCCACAAACAUCAGCAAGGUGGCGUCUGGCAGGCCUCCUUCCAGAAAAAACACAGAGGUGAACGUUCCAGAAGGCAUUGAGAAAUCCUGCUCCCGGCAGGAAGAAAACAAACCGAAUUUCAGAGACAGCAAAAAUAGACUUCUUAUGACCCAGGUGGCCUACUU
This 348-nucleotide long non-coding RNA is filed under the name Aotus nancymaae (Ma's night monkey). RNAcentral's name for it is "lncRNA (ENSANAG00000039433.1)". Lineage: Eukaryota; Metazoa; Chordata; Mammalia; Primates; Aotidae. The record is from RNAcentral.